UGUAGUGAUGAAAAUCUCGAGUAGGAAGUGCCGUCCGAUGCGACAACUGACGAUGUUUUGUCCACUUUUCUGAGU
Small nucleolar RNA from Parambassis ranga (Indian glassy fish), 75 nucleotides. The record is from Ensembl. Lineage: Eukaryota; Metazoa; Chordata; Actinopteri; Ambassidae.